Molecule: long non-coding RNA, 864 nt
Organism: Lolium rigidum
Lineage: Eukaryota; Viridiplantae; Streptophyta; Magnoliopsida; Poales; Poaceae
Exons: 2
Source: RefSeq, a predicted model, not a curated record
AUGAAGUCUUACUGACCACAUGAAUGCAUACCUUUUCCCCAAUGCAUUUGUUACUUCAUUGGUAGAAUAAAUAUAUGCCAUGCCUUCGGUACAUACUUUGCCAUGUAAUUUGUAGUGUUUAAUUCCUUUCCAGUAAAUUGGCUCACCUCUUAUUCUCCUUGAUGCCAAAUUGUAAUCAGCUAGUAGGUUGACUUCAUGACUAACAGCUUUGACAGUAGAAACACAAGUUAUUAAGAUGGCUUGUACUUUUGAUAUGUUUUUCAAUACAAUAUCUGCUAUACAUCUUACUGGUUUUUAAAAUGACUUGUACGUUUUUGCUACUCGUUAUUUGAUUAAUGCUGUUAUUUUCACCAUAGUUUUAGUUCCUGUACUUCUAGUGAAGAUUGCAUUUUCCUAAAAAGUAUUUUACUUGGAACUCUGAACUCUGAACCUCAUGUGGCUGUGUGUGCUUUGCAGGUCAGUGAUUUCAUUCACACAACAAACAACCUUGUACUCCUGGUGGCAGAUUCUUGUCAUGGAGAGGAGCAUCCUUAACAAGAUGUCAUGGACCAUCACUGUUCACACUUCAUCAUGGUGUGCUUCGCCAAGGCUAACGGUAGAAACAUGGUUUAGGUCAGCUUUUGUUUACAAAUUAGUGAAGCUCCAGGCUGAAGAAGUUUUAAAAAUCUUGGAAGUUGUGAAGCCCGACUGAGGAAACACUAGCUACUUAUUAUGAUAGUCAGCAUAUCUGGGUUGUGAUUAUACUGUAAUGGUUGUAAUGGAGUGAAGUAUGAAGAUAAUUAACGAUUUCCCUGUGUCCUAAAUGUUUGAAAUAUCAUUAUGUCUGAUCUGAUAAUUUGUGAAAUAGAAAUCUCACUCCAAUUU